AGUGAACGCUGGCGGUAGGCCUAACACAUGCAAGUCGAACGGCAGCACAGUAAGAGCUUGCUCUUACGGGUGGCGAGUGGCGGACGGGUGAGGAAUACAUCGGAAUCUACUUUUUCGUGGGGGAUAACGUAGGGAAACUUACGCUAAUACCGCAUACGACCUACGGGUGAAAGCAGGGGAUCUUCGGACCUUGCGCGAUUGAAUGAGCCGAUGUCGGAUUAGCUAGUUGGCGGGGUAAAGGCCCACCAAGGCGACGAUCCGUAGCUGGUCUGAGAGGAUGACCGCCCAAACUGAACCGGGGACACGUUCCAACUCCUUACGGGAGGCAGCGUUGGGGAUUAUGGGCCAUGGGCGCAAGCCUGAUCCAGCCAUACCGCGUGGGUGAAGAAGGCCUUCGGGUUGUAAAGCCCUUUUGUUGGGAAAGAAAAGCAGCAGGUUAAUACCCCGCUGUUCUGACGGUACCCAAAGAAUAAGCACCGGCUAACUUCGUG
Molecule: ribosomal RNA, 491 nt
Filed under: uncultured bacterium
Lineage: Bacteria
Description: partial 16S ribosomal RNA
Rfam family: Bacterial small subunit ribosomal RNA
Source: RNAcentral